CCCUAGUAACUGCGAGUGAAGCGGGAAAAGCUCAAAUUUAAAAUCUGGUGGUCCUUGUGGCUGUCCGAGUUGUAAUCUAGAGAAGUGUUAUCCGCGCUGAACCGUGUACAAGUCUCCUGGAAUGGAGCGUCAUAGAGGGUGAGAAUCCCGUCUUUGACACGGACUGCCAGGGCUUUGUGAUGCACUCUCAAAGAGUCGAGUUGUUUGGGAAUGCAGCUCAAAAUGGGUGGUAAAUUCCAUCUAAAGCUAAAUAUUGGCGAGAGACCGAUAGCGAACAAGUACCGUGAGGGAAAGAUGAAAAGAACUUUGGAAAGAGAGUUAAACAGUACGUGAAAUUGUUGAAAGGGAAACGCUUGAAGUCAGUCGCGUUGGCCAGGGAUCAACCUUGCUUUUUUGCUGGGCGUAUUUUCUGGUUGACGGGUCAGCAUCAAUUUUGACUGUUGGAUAAAGGUUGAGGAAAUGUGGCAUCUUUGGAUGUGUUAUAGUCCUUGAUUGCAUACAACAGUUGGGAUUGAGGAACUCAGCACGCCGAAAGGCUGGGUGUUUACACUACAUACGUGCUUAGGAUGCUGGCAUAAUGGCUUUAAUCGACCCGUCUUGAAACACGGACCAAGGAGUCUAACAUGCCUGCGAGUAUUUGGGUGGAAAACCCAGAUGCGCAAUGAAAGUGAUAGUUGAGAUCCCUGUCGUGGGGAGCAUCGACGCCCGGACUUGAAGUUUACUGACGGUUCCGCGGUAGAGCAUGUAUGUUGGGACCCGAAAGAUGGUGAACUAUGCCUGAAUAGGGUGAAGCCAGAGGAAACUCUGGUGGAGGCUCGUAGCGAUUCUGACGUGCAAAUCGAUCGUCAAAUUUGGGUAUAGGGGCGAAAGACUAAUCGAACCAUCUAGUAGCUGGUUCCUGCC
RNAcentral lists this ribosomal RNA (903 nucleotides) under Harmajaea harperi. Its description in RNAcentral is "LSU rRNA". It matches the Rfam family "Eukaryotic large subunit ribosomal RNA", at positions 78 to 962 of the family's 3401-position model. The record is from RNAcentral. Lineage: Eukaryota; Fungi; Basidiomycota; Agaricomycetes; Agaricales; Pseudoclitocybaceae.